GGAACAGUUACAGUUUCGAAAACCAUGAACUUGUAGCAGACGGUUUGUGUAUCUACACCCUCCGUGCUGUUAUAGGGUUGUAGAUUUACUGUAAAGCACUACUGUGCUUUGUACCAGGAAACACAUAAAUUGAUUAAGGAGUUUCCUAUGGAAUUUGAUCCUAGAGAACACCAACAUACCAGGUACAAUCCUUUGAAGGAUGAGUGGAUUCUUGUGUCUCCUCAUCGAAUGAAGAGACCAUGGAAAGGUCAAGUAGAAAAACCAUCAGAGAAAAAAGUGCAAGCUAAGGAUUUAAAUAAUCCUUUGUGUCCCGGAGCUGUUAGAGGAAAUGGAGAGGUUAACCCUGAUUACAAACAUACUUUUACUUUUAAAAAUGACUUCCCGGCACUUUUAGAGGAUGUUCCUGAUCCAGGUCCAAGCCAACAUCCAUUAUUCAGGUCUGAAGCUGCUUGUGGAGUGUGUGAAGUCAUGUGCUUUCAUCCCAGGUCUGAUGUCACUUUACCACUGAUGACUUUGUAUGAAAUAAAUGAAGUUAUACGCAAAUGGAGUGAAAGAACUUUAGAGCUAGGGAAGAAGUAUAGAUGGGUUCAGAUUUUUGAAAACAAAGGAGAAAUAAUGGGUUGCUCUAAUCCCCAUCCACACUGUCAGAUUUGGGCAAGUUCUUUUCUACCAAAUGAGGCUCGUAUUGAAGAUCGCUCACAAAAAGAUUACUACAGAAAACAUGGAGUCCCAAUGUUAAUUGAUUAUGUGAAUCAGGAACUUGAAAUGCAGGAACGUAGUGUUGUACAUAAUGACCACUGGAUAGCAGUAGUUCCUUACUGGGCAGUGUGGCCUUAUGAAACGAUGCUUUUACCACGACGUCACGUUAAAAGGCUUUACGACCUAAAUGACACAGAAAGGGCUAGCUUGGCAGAUAUUAUGAAAAGACUGCUUACAAAAUAUGAUAACCUGUUUGAAGUUUCAUUUCCUUAUUCUAUGGGUUGGCAUGGAGCCCCAACUGGUGAUAUGGAACACAUUGAAAACUCCCACUGGCAGUUACAUGCCCAUUAUCUUCCUCCGUUACUAAGGUCAGCAACAGUGAAAAAGUUCAUGGUGGGUUACGAGAUGCUAGCUCAAGCUCAACGAGAUUUAACGUCAGAACAGGCAGCGGCAAAAUUACGUGAGCUUCCAGAAGUUCAUUUCAUGGAAUACAACAGUGAUUAUUGUGAAUGUUAACAACCCCAGGCAAUAUCAAAAAGUCCAAAAUCCAUUGAUGGGCAGGAAGUUCUCAUCCCCAAGUACUGGAUAAAACAUAGAAUUCUACAGAACAAUAACAUCAUGAAUGCUGAUGAUGGAAUGACAAAUUUUGACCCAAAUGGUGAAGCAUAACGUAUGCCAACAUCACUAAAUACUUCUCCUGGUAGCCCUAAAUCACACAGAUAAAGGCUAGCAUUGCUGCUGGGAAAGGCAGAUGGAAGUACGGUAAC
This 1466-nucleotide unclassified non-coding RNA is filed under the name Limulus polyphemus (Atlantic horseshoe crab). RNAcentral describes it as "galactose-1-phosphate uridylyltransferase-like, transcript variant X1". The record is from RNAcentral. Lineage: Eukaryota; Metazoa; Arthropoda; Merostomata; Xiphosura; Limulidae.